RNAcentral lists this ribosomal RNA (396 nucleotides) under uncultured bacterium. RNAcentral's name for it is "partial 16S ribosomal RNA". It matches the Rfam family "Bacterial small subunit ribosomal RNA", at positions 523 to 917 of the family's 1533-position model. The record is from RNAcentral.
AUACGUAGGGGGCGAGCGUUGUCCGGAAUGAUUGGGCGUAAAGGGCGCGUAGGCGGCGCGGUAAGUCUGGAGUGAAAGUCCUGCUUUCAAGGUGGGAAUUGCUUUGGAUACUGCCGCGCUUGAGUGCAGGAGAGGUUAUCGGAAUUCCCGGUGUAGCGGUGACAUGCGUAGAGAUCGUGAGGAACCCCAGUGGCGAAGGCGGGUAAAUUGACUGCAAGUGACGCUGAGGCGCGACAGUGUGGGGAGCAAACAGGAGUAGAUACCCUGGUAGUCCACACUGUAAACGAUGAAUGCUAGGUGUAAGAGGUAUCGACCCCUUUUGUGCCGGAGUCAACACAAUAAGCAUUCCGCCUGGGGAGUACGGCCGCAAGGUUGAAACUCAACGGAAUUGGCGGG